AUGGACCAGGACCCAGUGGGCCCUGUGGAACGAGGAGAAGCCGUCGCAGCCUCGGGAGCUGCGGCCGCCGCGGCAUUCGGGGAAUCUGCGGGGCAGAUGAGUAACGAAAGAGGCUUUGAAACGUAGAACUGGGAGUCAUAGGAAAAAAGAAGAAAGUCCCAAGGAGAGUCAUCCACUUUGUUAGUGGCAAAACAAUGGAAGAAUACAGCACAGAUGAAGAUGAAGUUGAUGGCCUGGAGAAGAUGUUUUGCCUACUGUUGAUCCGA
RNAcentral lists this long non-coding RNA (266 nucleotides) under Homo sapiens (human). Its description in RNAcentral is "non-protein coding lnc-MPC2-3:1". Lineage: Eukaryota; Metazoa; Chordata; Mammalia; Primates; Hominidae. The record is from RNAcentral.